CCCUUAGAUGUUCUGGGCCGCACGCGCGCUACACUGACGAAUUCAACGAGCUUAUAACCUUGGCCGAAAGGUCUAGGUAAUCUCCAAAAUUCGUCGUGAUGGGGAUAGAUUAUUGCAAUUAUUAAUCUUCAACGAGGAAUGCCUAGUAAGCGCAAGUCAUCAGCUUGCGUUGAUUACGUCCCUGCCCUUUGUACACACCGCCCGUCGCUCCUACCGAUUGAAUGAUUUAGUGAGGACUUCGGACUGGGACCGAUGCGGCUUUCGGGCUGCGUCGGUAUUCUGGAAAGAUGUCCAAACUGUAUCAUUUAGAGGAAGUAAAAGUCGUAACA
This 329-nucleotide ribosomal RNA is filed under the name uncultured eukaryote. Its description in RNAcentral is "partial 18S ribosomal RNA". It matches the Rfam family "Eukaryotic small subunit ribosomal RNA", at positions 1470 to 1796 of the family's 1831-position model. The record is from RNAcentral.